AUUGAACGCUGGCGGCAGGCCUAACACAUGCAAGUCGAGCGGAUGAAGGGAGCUUGCUCCUGGAUUCAGCGGCGGACGGGUGAGUAAUGCCUAGGAAUCUGCCUGGUAGUGGGGGAUAACGUCCGGAAACGGGCGCUAAUACUGCAUACGUCCUGAGGGAGAAAGUGGGGGAUCUUCGGACCUCACGCUAUCAGAUGAGCCUAGGUCGGAUUAGCUAGUUGGUGGGGUAAAGGCCUACCAAGGCGACGAUCCGUAACUGGUCUGAGAGGAUGAUCAGUCACACUGGAACUGAGACACGGUCCAGACUCCUACGGGAGGCAGCAGUGGGGAAUAUUGGACAAUGGGCGAAAGCCUGAUCCAGCCAUGCCGCGUGUGUGAAGAAGGUCUUCGGAUUGUAAAGCACUUUAAGUUGGGAGGAAGGGCAGUAAGUUAAUACCUUGCUGUUUUGACGUUACCAACAGAAUAAGCCCCGGCUAACUUCGUG
Molecule: ribosomal RNA, 484 nt
Filed under: uncultured bacterium
Lineage: Bacteria
Description: partial 16S ribosomal RNA
Rfam family: Bacterial small subunit ribosomal RNA
Source: RNAcentral